GCUCUUAUCGGAUCACCUAAGUUAAGCAACCUUGAGCCGGAUCAGUAUUUGGAUGGCUGACCGCUUGGGAAAACCAGGUACUGUAAUC
This is a non-coding RNA of Acanthosepion pharaonis, 88 nucleotides long. The record is from the annotation of a GenBank genome assembly. Lineage: Eukaryota; Metazoa; Mollusca; Cephalopoda; Sepiida; Sepiidae.